UGUCCACAUGUGUUUAUAUUGAAAUUGCAGAUUUUUCAACUUUUUGGGACGGGGCCAUUCGUGUCGCUUUGACACAUCUAGUUUAUAAUACUGGAGCCUCCUUUUAGCCAUCUAUAGUAUAGAGUUUUGCUUAUUGUUAAUGACUACUGUAACAUGCAGUUGUUUUAAACAUCCUUGGUACUUGGUGGAUAGUUGUCUCUAAGUUAUACAACAUCUCAUAUUUUUGUACUAUUGUAUUAACAACUUGUUGAAUCUCUAUGCAAUUGACCAUUUUUUAUUUUUCAUAUUACUGACUUUUGACUUUUGACUCCCAGUUCUGUGGUAGCCCUAUACUCUGUCAAUUACGAGCAACCAAACAAAGUAAAACCAAAUAUAUGAUCAGUGCAAUUUUAGGGGAAAUUUACUAAUGUC
This 411-nucleotide long non-coding RNA is filed under the name Mytilus galloprovincialis (Mediterranean mussel). Lineage: Eukaryota; Metazoa; Mollusca; Bivalvia; Mytilida; Mytilidae. The record is from RNAcentral.